AUGCAACUCAGGGGAUUGAGUCAGAGCCCAAUUUUGGAAAACCUUAGGGGUGUGGUUGUGCAUACUGAGGUUCACAAGGAUACGGAGUUUCUCAACAAAUCGUGGGAUAACAUGAAUCAACAUAAUCAAAAUCUUAAAGAGCCACCUGAUGGAUUUCAAACUGUGAAAUCUAGGAAAAAGACGAAGAUUAAAAAAUCUAGCUCUAGGCCUGGCACAAGAUUUAAUGCAGGAUAUGAAGUGCUUGUAUUGGAAUGUGAGAGGUAUUGCUAA
Vicia faba (fava bean) is the source of this 270-nucleotide non-coding RNA. The record is from the annotation of a GenBank genome assembly. Lineage: Eukaryota; Viridiplantae; Streptophyta; Magnoliopsida; Fabales; Fabaceae.